UACAGUAUGGCUUAGUGGUUUGAGUGUUGGACUAUGUUUCUAGAGGCCACCGUUCAAAUCCUUGCUCUGCCA
Non-coding RNA from Phrynosoma platyrhinos (Desert horned lizard), 72 nucleotides. NCBI's taxonomy places the organism in Eukaryota, Metazoa, Chordata, Lepidosauria, Squamata, Phrynosomatidae. The record is from the annotation of a GenBank genome assembly.